This is a long non-coding RNA of Betta splendens (Siamese fighting fish), 1063 nucleotides long. RefSeq lists it as uncharacterized. The record is from RefSeq and is a predicted model, not a curated record. The transcript has 3 exons. NCBI's taxonomy places the organism in Eukaryota, Metazoa, Chordata, Actinopteri, Anabantiformes, Osphronemidae.
GUUUUCUCUGAAAACACAAUGCACAUUUAAGACGUGUUGUUGCAGUGCUACUGUUGUGCUUUGGAAUUUGACCUAUUUCACGGAGAAGAAAACUGGGCAGCUCAGGGACGUCUCGCUGCCUGCACCGCGGUUCACACGCCACCGUGAAAACCACUGGACCCAUCCUUUUCGGAGAACACUUGGCUGUGAACCCACAACCUGGAGCGGAGCCGCCGCUACAAGGUACAAAAGGUUGAAUUUCUCUGCUCAACCUCCCCAUGCUGCAUUCACAUUGACACUGCCCACUGAAACCAGACCGUGAUGCGGCGUCGCAGGCACAGAGGGUGCGUAGAAGGCAGCGGUGCCAUUCUUCAGAAGAAAUGUCAGCAAGGAUGUCUCACGUUUCCAUGAGGCUCCUUCGGCUGUGGCAGUCUGCUCUGCUAACGUUAGACAGCAGAGCGACAGCGUCACACGGACAGGACGUACGAACGAGUGAAGGAGGGCAGAGCGUGGGAUCUUUGGAACAUGCCUAUGCGUGACUCAGAGAUGGUUAUCUUUAGUCUAUACAGUAAACACUAAGAUGAGGUCACGCCCCACUCACAUUCAGUGGAUUUAGAAGACGUGGAAGACGACACAGUUCCACCAAACUGUAAAAAUCAACUUUCUGCCAUGUCGAAUACUUUGGCCUUCAUUGAGAGCACUAUUGGUAUUAAUUCACUUCACUGACAAGAAAGUUGUGUUGUUACUCCAAGUGUGCGGUGCAUGUUUCAGUUGGGAUGUGUUUACAAAAGUAAAACAAGUUGAACUGAAUCAACCCUUUAAGCGCACAAACGUGAAUGUUAAACCUACCUUCUUUUACUACGUUGGUGUUAAGGCGUUGUGUGCACUGGUACUGUACAUGUUACAUGUUUGUGGUACGCACAUGCUUUAUAGGGGGUUGAUGGCAUAUCUAUGAGUUUAUUGCAUCCAUACUUCCGCUUUGUGAAAUGAGGAACUGCUUGUAUGGAUCGUUUAAUAAUAAAAUAGUGAGAGUCAAUGAUAAUGACUGUACUAUCUAUAUUACAGCAAUAAAGGUUUGUGUUUG